RNAcentral lists this ribosomal RNA (253 nucleotides) under uncultured bacterium. RNAcentral describes it as "partial 16S ribosomal RNA". It matches the Rfam family "Bacterial small subunit ribosomal RNA", at positions 524 to 776 of the family's 1533-position model. The record is from RNAcentral.
GACGUAGGGGGCAAGCGUUGUUCGGAAUUAUUGGGCGUAAAGCGCUCGUAGGCGGGACAGGAAGUUCGUGUUGAAAGACCUCGGCUCAACUGAGGGACCGGCUCGAAUACUCUUGUUCUUGAGGCAAUCAGAGGGUGAUGGAAUUCCCGGUGUAGCGGUGAAAUUCGUAGAUAUCGGGAGGAACACCAGUGGCGAAGGCGGCGAUCUGGGAAGAUACUGACGCUGAGGCGCGAAAGCUAGGGGAGCAAACAGG